Molecule: ribosomal RNA, 497 nt
Filed under: uncultured bacterium
Lineage: Bacteria
Description: partial 16S ribosomal RNA
Rfam family: Bacterial small subunit ribosomal RNA
Source: RNAcentral
GAUGAACGCUGGCGGCGUGCCUAAUACAUGCAAGUCGAGCGAACGGACGAGAAGCUUGCUUCUCUGAUGUUAGCGGCGGACGGGUGAGUAACACGUGGAUAACCUACCUAUAAGACUGGGAUAACUUCGGGAAACCGGAGCUAAUACCGGAUGAUAUUUUGAACCGCAUGGUUCAAAAGUGAAAGACGGUCUUGCUGUCACUUAUAGAUGGAUCCGCGCUGCAUUAGCUAGUUGGUAAGGUAACGGCUUACCAAGCCAACGAUGCAUAGCCGACCUGAGAGGGUGAUCGGCCACACUGGAACUGAGACACGGUCCAGACUCCUACGGGAGGCAGCAGUAGGGAAUCUUCCACAAUGGGCGAAAGCCUGACGGAGCAACGCCGCGUGAGUGAUGAAGGUCUUCGGAUCGUAAAACUCUGUUAUUAGGGAAGAACAUAUGUGUAAGUAACUGUGCACAUCUUGACGGUACCUAAUCAGAAAGCCACGGCUAACUACGUG